GUAUGCAGCACACUCACCUGGCAG
RNAcentral lists this unclassified non-coding RNA (24 nucleotides) under Mus musculus (house mouse). Its description in RNAcentral is "oocyte_clustered_small_RNA1305". Lineage: Eukaryota; Metazoa; Chordata; Mammalia; Rodentia; Muridae. The record is from RNAcentral.